Molecule: long non-coding RNA, 1104 nt
Filed under: Elaeis guineensis (African oil palm)
Lineage: Eukaryota; Viridiplantae; Streptophyta; Magnoliopsida; Arecales; Arecaceae
Description: long non-coding RNA (EGUI_LNC043602)
Source: RNAcentral
CCGAGGACCUGAUUGGCCGAAGUUGAGGUCAAAAUCUACAAUACUUAUCUCCCACUUUCGAGUCCGAGUUUGUAUCGAGGUCGAUCAAAAAGAGUAAAAACUCAAAGCCGAGGCCAACCUAACAAUGUAUUUCGGCAACCAAACUCAGAUACUAUAAGCAAUCUAACAUGUUUUAUGAAUCAGUGCUGCUAAUUUCUUUGAUCUGUUGAUUUGGAUUGUUGAAGUGUGGAUCCAGGUAAGAUCAGUUGUGGCCAAUCUCAGAUUGCCAUUGGUAACCAUCAAUAAUGGCUAGACGAAUCGUCAUCAGAUCGAAGCCUCAUCCGAGCUCCUAUAACUAGGCCCUCCCUUUCUUAGAUUUCACUUUUACUAUUUUAUGGCUUGACCAUCACGGAAGAGGAGAGUGAGGUCCUUAGGCGAUUUUUGAUGAAUCUCUCAUGAUCGCGGUUGGCAGUUUGGCAGCUGCAGUCAUCCUCGGCUGGAUCCGAGCUCAGAUCCUUGAAGUUUAGUCCUUAGGCUGUUCAGUUAUCCUCACUGUAGGUUAGUUUUCCCAAUUUUUCCCUUUCUUUUUUUAAAUUUUGCCGAGGAUGAGCAUCUCGAGCUCAUCUCCCGACACUUGGCUGCCAAAUAUUCCUAUUGUUGCUUAGCCUACAUUUAUGAAUAUGGGCAUUCAGUAUAUUGAUUUGAGAGUUUCGGACUUUAUUACCUCAUCUCGUAACAAGGAUACUAGUCCUGUAGAGGGAUUAUUUUUAGCUGAUAUGAUAACCUAAUGAAAGCAUUCCUACAAUGCAAGGCUUCUGAUCUAAUCAGCUAACUUGACAUUGCAGCAACUACAACUCUCCCUUCUUGAGAGAUUUCUAGUCAGCACCUCCAAGUCCCAAAGAGUAUAUUGGGUAUGAAGGCAUAGUCCCGCACAAAGUUGAAGAAUUUAAAUCGAAGCUCCUUUAAAAUAGACUAUCGUGUAAGGCUCUGCUGGUGAAGAAAGAAAUCCUUCCUACCUCUGAGCAAUAUUAUAAUCUCUUAACCUUUAUGAAAGAGGGAUGCUCUCAUGUCACUCUUACUUGCUUCUUCGCAGUGGCAUGCUGGCACCUGAUAAGUAGCAAUUGC